AAACCAGCACCUCAAGUGGUCAGGAUGAUUAUUGGGCCUAAAGCAUCCGUAGCCUGUUCUGUAAGUUUUCGGUUAAAUCCAUUGGCUCAACUAAUGGGCCGCCGAAAAUACUGUAGAACUAGGGAGUGGGAGAGGUAGACGGUAUUCGGUAGGAAGGGGUAAAAUCCUUUGAUCUAUUGAGGACCACCUGUGGCGAAGGCGGUCUACCAGAACACGUUCGACGGUGAGGGAUGAAAGCUGGGGGAGCAAACCGGAUUAGAAACCCCGGUAGUCC
This 274-nucleotide ribosomal RNA is filed under the name uncultured bacterium. RNAcentral describes it as "partial 16S ribosomal RNA". It matches the Rfam family "Archaeal small subunit ribosomal RNA", at positions 473 to 747 of the family's 1478-position model. The record is from RNAcentral.